CUCACCCCUCCCUUGCCCUCACUGUCUCCUCCCGUGUGCGAUCAACUGGAGGGAGGUGCUCAGCUGGGAACAAGGAGAGAGUCACCAGCUCUGAAGGGAGAGGACGCACACACACAAUAAGAGAGACACGGGAGUCUGAUCAGCGCUGGAACGGGUCGUCCUGUGCUGUAGGUUACUCUGCAGACCCGUUCCUGGAGGGAAACAAGAGGGGCUGGACGCAGGAGACGGACGCAGGAAUUCCAGGUCACAAGGGCUCCUGUCUUGGCUGGGUUGGGCUGGUUAUUCCCACCUCUCCCUCUCACGGUCAUGAGUGUGACAGAUGUGGAGUAGGACCAGGGAGGGACUAAUCACUUACGAACUCAGAGGCUAGUCUUUAACUUCAAGGGUCUGACCUGACCCCCUUCAGGAUGGGAUCCUCUGUGGAGUUUGCUUGUUUGCUGUUGGUGGUCUCCACUCUGGGAAAGAACCACUUGGUGUCCGGGGGUUGUUCAGGGAAAUGCUGCCGAGGCAGAGACUUGAGCUGUCUGACCACCGACUGGAGGAUGGACCGUGUGUACGGGACGUGCUACUGCGACGAGGGCUGUGCGAGGACCAACGACUGCUGCUUCGACUACUUCACAGAAUGCCCAGCUCAGGACUGCACUGUGAGCGACUGGAGCUUUUGGAGCGGCUGUGCCAAGUCGUGUCAGGCUUCAGUGCGGGUCCGUGUUCGUCACGUAGAGCAGCAGCCCAGUAACAGCGGAGAGCCCUGUCCUAGUCUGGAGCAACGAAGCGGCUGCAGGGAGUACAGAGACCAGAAGGGUGGCCACUGUGGACUAAACUCAGGUCCUGCAUUCAUCACCAGCAUGGAGUUUGGCAAGGGAAGGCCGAAGCAUGACAACUACGGAAACCCCCUGGACCCCGGGUUCUGUGUGGAAUUCACGCUGGAGUCCCGGACACCCCACUGUACAGUGGAGAACCGGCCACACACACACUGGACGCGCUACAUAACAGAAGGAUUUAAAGUGUGUGUGGCAUGUGAACCUCCUGCCAUGCGCAACAAUAGUGGCAGCUGCCAAGGAGACGGUCUGGAAUCAGACAAAGAAGCUUUGCUCCACUGGCAGGCGGUGGGGAACCAUCAGUGCAGCGGGACCUGGAAGAAGAUCCAGCAAACCCAGCAGUGCAACUGUCCGCCACAACACAGCUUCGUCUUCAUCUGAUCUAAACGAAGCGCCGCGCAACACUCUCUGAUCUGGAGUCCACGAUAACACCUCACAGCCGAGCGCCGCUCACCAGCGAGACUGAAACACUGUGUUCAGAACUCUCCAGCGGUCUUUGAGCAUGGUGCCAGUGCGGCCGUCAAAGUCAAAAUCCAAUAAUAUGCGAGACCAAUUCCCCUGGCCGUGACGUCGAACGCCAAUCUUGAGGUACCUGUCCAGCUCGUAUGUCCAUUUCUAAACAAAGUAAAACAUAAGGGAUGCAAUUUUCAGAAAUCCGAGCCAAAGUUAGCAUUUGAGCUUCAUAUAUUCACUUGAUUUGGGAUUAAUAUACUGGUCAUGAAUGAGCGGUGUGCUUCAAUUUACCUGAGGUGGUUUUCUUGUUUUUUCGAUCUUCGAGGUGUCCGUUGACUUCGUGGAUGUCAACUCAGAUAACUCUGAUGGUGGGAGGUUUAACUUUAUCAUUAGUUCUUUAUUUUAUAGAAAAGUAUUGAUACAUCAGAUCAAAUCAAAAUACAAUGUUUUUAAAAGAAAAAACAGAAAAGAUAAAAACCUACCGCUGCGGGAGAUUCUUCUGAGAGAGACAAACGACUUCUUGCAUGAAUCAGUUUGCCAUAUGUCCGAAAUCUUCGUUGACAGCAGUUUCCGUUUUGUUCUGUGGAAGUGUCAUACAGAGAGACAUAUACAUAUUGGUAACCCCACAGCUUGCUGAAUGUCUGCUUUUACCCAAACACCAAUUCCUACUAACCUCAAACAAACAGCCUUCUUCUUCUUUUCCCUGUUAAGACACAAAUGUACAGAAUAUUGUUCAAUACAGAACAGAAAUGGACCAUGUGCACAUUUCAAUAAAUAAACCUGAGGGUGUUACAAAAGUAUUUCCUACUUUCUGUUCUCUGUUGAUUUGUUGGCUUCUUCUGACAGAGAGCUGUCCUGUGUCAUCACGUCCUCCAAACCCUCAGUGUUUUCUGACGACUGCACCAUCUUUGUGGCUUCCUGAUAGAAGAAGAGGCAGACAAAAACACACACUAACAUAUUAGUUACUAAAUAUUAUUUGAUCUUCAAGAUCACGGGGUAUAUCAAUCACUCACGGGGUGAGUGAUUGAUAUACAAAUGGUCAUUUAGUGGAUGAAGUAUUCCUUUAAGUACUGCUAUAAUGUGAAA
This is an RNA transcript of Anarrhichthys ocellatus (wolf-eel), 2357 nucleotides long. It is a transcript of the gene named somatomedin B and thrombospondin type 1 domain containing, with no coding region annotated. Lineage: Eukaryota; Metazoa; Chordata; Actinopteri; Perciformes; Anarhichadidae. The record is from RefSeq and is a predicted model, not a curated record. The transcript is spliced from 6 exons.